UGGGCAAUCUGCCCUGCACUCUGGGACAAGCCCUGGAAACGGGGUCUAAUACCGGAUAUUACCUUCCUCUGCAUGGGGGUUGGUGGAAAGCUCCGGCGGUGCAGGAUGAGCCCGCGGCCUAUCAGCUUGUUGGUGGGGUAAUGGCCUACCAAGGCGACGACGGGUAGCCGGCCUGAGAGGGCGACCGGCCACACUGGGACUGAGACACGGCCCAGACUCCUACGGGAGGCAGCAGUGGGGAAUAUUGCACAAUGGGCGAAAGCCUGAUGCAGCGACGCCGCGUGAGGGAUGACGGCCUUCGGGUUGUAAACCUCUUUCAGCAGGGAAGAAGCGCAAGUGACGGUACCUGCAGAAGAAGCACCGGCUAACUACGUGCCAGCAGCCGCGGUAAUACGUAGGGUGCGAGCGUUGUCCGGAAUUAUUGGGCGUAAAGAGCUCGUAGGCGGCCUGUCGCGUCGGAUGUGAAAGCCCGGGGCUUAACCCCGGGUCUGCAUUCGAUACGGGCAGGCUAGAGUGUGGUAGGGGAGAUCGGAAUUCCUGGUGUAGCGGUGAAAUGCGCAGAUAUCAGGAGGAACACCGGUGGCGAAGGCGGAUCUCUGGGCCAUUACUGACGCUGAGGAGCGAAAGCGUGGGGAGCGAACAGGAUUAGAUACCCUGGUAGUCCACGCCGUA
Molecule: ribosomal RNA, 672 nt
Filed under: uncultured Actinomycetes bacterium
Lineage: Bacteria; Bacillati; Actinomycetota; Actinomycetes
Description: bacterial SSU rRNA
Rfam family: Bacterial small subunit ribosomal RNA
Source: RNAcentral